UACCCGGCGCCGCCGCAGGGAGCCCUGCAGGUCCCACCAUGCCGCGCUGCGAGGGGAUGCUCUGUCCCCACACGCUCCAGAGCAAGAGCCCCAGGGACAUCUUCCUCCUCCAUGUGGUGACCCCCGACCGCAUCCCGCAGUUCACUAUCCCCUCUCUGGACAUCCAGGACAAGCACAGGCGCUCAGGCAAGGAGAAGGGGACGACCCAAAGGAGCAUCUUGGACACAGAAAUGGAAGAUGACCACGACGUGCCUGGCUCCAGCUCUUCCUGCUCAAAGGCCAGGCUCAUUGCCACUGCACAUGCUGUCCCAGACCCCACUGCUCAGGCAGCUCUGUCCCUGCCCCAUCUCCCCAUGGUCAUCACCCCGUAUGGCUUUGUCACCCUGGGACAGAGCCCAGAAGUCACCAGUGAAGAGGCGUUUUUUCACUUGGGCUCAGGUCACCCUCAAGGUCCUGCUGCUGAGAUACAUCCCAGUUGGCAGGAGGAACCAAGAUGCCACAAAAAACCCAGGAUGGAUGUUGCUGGGGGAUAUGGCUGCUCCCAGAUGGGUGGAGGCCUGUGGGACCACAAGCAACUGAGUCCCCAUGCCGCUGGUCAAAAGGAUGAUGGAGGCAGCCAGGCCUACAGGAUUCCAGCGGGGCUUCACCUGCCCAGGAGAUGUGCCAGCCCGCUCGGAGACAUCCAGAUAACAGAUGUUCUGGAAAGCAAAGAGGCAGAGAAGAGAGAGAGGAGGCUCCUGGGGAUGGGCUAUCAGAGGAGCAGCUCCAGCCUGGAGGUCCCCACUGGGACCCCCAGGAAGAACUUGCUGCAGAGGAUCCUCAGGAGGCACCUUGCCCACCCUCCGCAGCUCAAGCCUACGAAUUUCACUCUCCACUGAUCUUGCAAAGCAGCCCUGAGAAACGCAGGUUCCCUAAAGACUUGGGAAAGAGAGACUUUUGCAAAUGCCCCAGCCUGCCAGGCUGAAACACGAGGGCAUCAGAUGUGUCACUUUACCUGAAGGAGAAGGAUUGAAAUGGUACUGCCCUUGGCUGGGCAUCAGGCUGGGGUUUCACCGGCCACAGGAGGAUGUCCAUGAGGCAGAAGGGGUGGCAGCAGAGGUGGUGAAGCUGCGAGGGGCAGGCUGGGGAGCACGGGAGGGGGGCUGCAGGUUUGUAACCAUACAAAUAAAAUGUCUGAAUAAAAGUGAAAACGUUUCA
Molecule: long non-coding RNA, 1197 nt
Filed under: Calidris pygmaea (Spoon-billed sandpiper)
Lineage: Eukaryota; Metazoa; Chordata; Aves; Charadriiformes; Scolopacidae
Description: lncRNA (ENSCPGG00000001273.1)
Source: RNAcentral